GUACGGGAGGCAGCAGUGGGGAAUAUUGGACAAUGGGCGAAAGCCUGAUCCAGCAAUACCGCGUGUGUGAAGAAGGCCUUAGGGUUGUAAAGCACUUUCAAUUGGGAGGAAAAAACAGAGGUCAAUACCCUCUGUCUUGACAUUACCUUUAGAAGAAGCACCGGCUAACUCCGUGCCAGCAGCCGCGGUAAUACGGAGGGUGCAAGCGUUAAUCGGAAUUACUGGGCGUAAAGAGUGCGUAGGCGGCUCGUUAAGUCAGAUGUGAAAGCCCUGGGCUCAACCUGGGAACUGCAUUUGAAACUGGCGAGCUAGAGUUGAGUAGAGGUAAGUGGAAUUUCAGGUGUAGCGGUGAAAUGCGUAGAUAUCUGAAGGAACACCAGUGGCGAAGGCGACUUACUGGACUCAAACUGACGCUGAGGUACGAAAGCGUGGGUAGCAAACAGGAUUAGAAACCCGAGUAGUCCC
RNAcentral lists this ribosomal RNA (465 nucleotides) under uncultured bacterium. RNAcentral describes it as "bacterial SSU rRNA". It matches the Rfam family "Bacterial small subunit ribosomal RNA", at positions 339 to 797 of the family's 1533-position model. The record is from RNAcentral.